Otolemur garnettii (small-eared galago) is the source of this 901-nucleotide long non-coding RNA. RefSeq lists it as uncharacterized. NCBI's taxonomy places the organism in Eukaryota, Metazoa, Chordata, Mammalia, Primates, Galagidae. The record is from RefSeq and is a predicted model, not a curated record. The transcript has 5 exons.
GGGAACUGGGUAGGGGAAUAGAGGAGGAGAGGGGGACUAGGACGUGGCUGGUGCUCUGGCUGUGGCUCGGGGCUGGGCUGGGAAGGUUGCCCUCCUCUGCAGCGCAGCGCUGGAGCCCGGCGCUCCUGUGGGCGUGGGCCCCGUAGCGCCUCCCUGGCGGGCGUUGAUGACAGGCGGGGUCCCUGCGGCACAGAAAUGUUGCCCGGGCGGUUGUGCGCGGGCGGCCAGGCCUGGCGGUGGGCGUCCACGGCGGCGUGACCUUGGGCGACGGUCUCCUUUUGGAUCCUGUGUGUCGAGGAAAGGGUCAGCAGGUAGAAAAACGGAGGCCACAAAACCAACCUUGCCUGCUCAAGCUGCACAGAAAGGGGCCUUCCAAGGGGCAGGGGCAGAAGUGGGAAUGAAGACGAGACUGCCAGACCCUGCGGCCAGCCCUCUUCACCCCUUGCCAUCCUGUUGGCAACAUCCUGACAUUCCUAUCUGGACAGGGGCACCCUAAAAUAGAUAACUGAAUAAUCCCAGAAAGGAGCACUGAGUGAAGGGCCCUGGAAACACCAGGAGGGUCAGCACACGGGAGCACACUGGUCUGGCCCCGAAGGGGCCUUCCAAGGAGCCUUGGGAAUUAGGUCCGGGAUUGGCCACUGCUGCGCUCCCCACCCGCUCCGGUACUGAGUCCAUUGCACUUUUGGUUUCUGCAUUUGCAAGCAUUUCCCUUGCAGAAAAAUGCAGUGGAAGCAACUCAAAUCCUAGGGCAGAAACAACAGCAGCAGGUGCAGCUAUGGGUGGUUUGAGCCACACAUAGCAGGUGAGGCCAUGGAGAGCCCUGAGAGGGCACAAGCUGGCUGGUUGGUAGGGCCAGGGGCCUUGCCUUUUUCAUUUUUGUAUUCCUAGUGCCCACAUAGAA